GGACAGGGGUUUUCAUCAUUUCGGAGGACCACCGUCAAUUUGAAGAAGAAGAAGAAGUUGGAGGUAAACAGGAGGAUUCAGAGAUGAUGACGAAGGAGUCAAAACAAAAUCACCUAACGUGUUGCAGCGAAUGAGAUGCUCUGGAGAGGAGCACGCCGGGAUGGAGACGAGAGGUGUGCUGGAUGCUUGCUGCUGCAGGAGGAUGUUGCGCACUUGAAUUUACCUACGGAGUGAGAGGUCUGAAGGCUCUGAGCAUCCAUGAGGUACUGCGUAGUCAUGUUAUUGAUGAGGUAGAUGUUGUUUUUGUUCAGUGGACUCUUUUAUCAGCACUUUAGACUUACUAAUUGUUGACUUAGUUUGUAUAUAUCUUUAAUAUAGGAGGAUAUGAAGUUUAUUGUAAGUUUUUUUUAUGUAGAUGAUUUUUAAUUUAAUAUUGUAAGUUCAAAUCAUUGAAAGAAUACUAAAUGUUCUUGCAACUUUUACAGGACAUUUUUAUUAUAAGCUUCUUGAUGUUGUUAUUAUUGCAGCUGUCAGAGUUUUCUGUGUUUAGCAUUCUAAGUGUCAAGUGUUUGUUAUGGCUCUUCCAGACGAGCUUGAUUUGAUUUAAAAUAUAGCAAUUAAAAGGAAAAUGCAUUAGUAAUAACUUUAUUUAAUAACUCUUUAUGGUAAAAAAAAAAAAAAAAGAACCCAGAGUUGAAAUUAUGUAAUGUUGUUUUUUUUUCCUCUCAAUGUGCGUUUGCAGAAAUAGAAAUCCUUCAAUUAGUUUCUUUAAAGAAAAACUGUUGUUGAUUCUUUGUGAAGGUGAACUUAAGUGCGUACACCUGCUGUGCCAGUGUUUUGACUCAGCUCCAUCCAUCCAGAGGGUUCUAUGUCAUACGCACUUUUUAUUCCUGAUGUAAACAAACCCUCCUGAAGCAAUACCCGGAUCUAACACAGGAUGGCGUAUUUCUGCAGUCAUACCAUCUUGUUCUGAAUGAAGACACCAGUAAUAGUGUUAUGGGAAUGAGACGGAUGCAAGAGUGGGAAGUAUUGAUGCAAAACUGGAGCGUGGGCGACGCAGUAUUUGCAUAUGUAAAUGAAAAUGCAUUUUCAUACUCUUUGUCUCCUAAACUUUCAUGACAGGACGACGGCUACCAUCCAUCUUGAUGCUCUUUGGAAACAAUGAUCUGAUAUCCCUUCAAGUCAACCCCCCCCCCUCCCCAAAAUGUCUGCAGUCAGCUGACGAGUAAGAAAUAAAGUUCUGCAACUGUGGGUUGAAUGAGCUCAAGGGAAAUGAAUGUAUCAAAGAAUAGAACCCAACAACACAAUUAAGCUUUGAAGCUGAAAUUGCUUUCCUCCCAGACACAUUUUUACCAUUUCUCUUCUCACAGAGUGAAACAAGGAUUGCUUUCAACUCUCAGUGCAAGGUAAGAGCUUGUGCAUUUCACUUAAUAAACAUCCAGGACACGUUUCUAAACAGUGCAGCUGCUAACUGUUGAUGUAAGUCAUUCAUAAAAACGCAGAACUUAAUUGGCCCGCUGCAAAUUAGCAUUGUUACAGUUCAGAGUGUGUCUGCUUUUAACUGCACUUUACAGCAAAAAUAAUUGAAUUUUACAAUUGCACAGCAUCAAAGUGUUAUAUCUGUACAAAGGUCACAUGUCUCGUAGUCUGGUAACAGUGACUGCUUCUCAUUGUGUGCGUGCAUGCUCUACAAGUCUCAUCAUAAUUCCCGGGAAUUUUCUCAGGAACUGCCCAGGACGAAGCUCUCAGAGAUUUCUCUUUUAUCACACAGUGCGUGACGCCUGAUCAGACGACAACGUCCCCCAGAGACGGCCUGUUUGCUUUUUGCCUGAGUGAUGGAGUUCGCAGCAUUAUCCUCGAGACGGCCGCUGUAGCAUUCACACGGCUCAUAACGCUUCACAGCUCCAUUGUCUGAAUUACAUAACAGUUGAAGAAUCAUCUGAUCAAGGUAUGUGAACAAUGAGAUGAAUCUACAAAGAGCUACAUUCUUAAAAUAAACUGUACUCGCGUUUGACUGAACCAAAAGAGACUAUUUAUAAGACAGAGACACAAGAAACUGCUUUAUCCCUGUGUUAGAUUUAUUGCAGUCUAUUAUAUUACUUUAGAGCGACAUACGUUUAAUCUUCCUAUGAUGCUAAAGGAUUAAAGAUUCUGGAUAAGAGUUUAAAAAAGAGGAUAAAACAGUUUCCUGCCUUUCCCUUAUGGCCGAGUUGUGGUAGGAAGUGCCACGAACUGAAAGAGGAAGUACAAACAUGUGGUUGGCAUAUAUUCUUGAUAACUAACAAUGUGUGGUUUGUCAAUCGCAUCAAGCUUUAUGUUUUUAAACAUCGUCCAUCUAA
Labrus mixtus (cuckoo wrasse) is the source of this 2339-nucleotide long non-coding RNA. RefSeq lists it as uncharacterized. The transcript is spliced from 4 exons. Lineage: Eukaryota; Metazoa; Chordata; Actinopteri; Labriformes; Labridae. The record is from RefSeq and is a predicted model, not a curated record.